Molecule: non-coding RNA, 213 nt
Filed under: Bacillota bacterium
Lineage: Bacteria; Bacillati; Bacillota
Description: Firmicutes bacterium T-box sequence
Rfam family: T-box leader
About the family: Uncharged tRNA acts as the effector for transcription antitermination of genes in the T-box leader family.
Source: RNAcentral
UAAGAGGCUGUGACCGGGAAGAGUACCCCCACUUCCCCGCCCAAGAGAGGAGCCGGACGGUGCAAGGCUCUGGCGGUGGUGGAGGGAAGGCGCCCGUAAGCCGCGGGGAGGCAAUGCCCCGCCGGUUCCCCGCCGUUAUCGGGUUCGAGUGCGGGCCGCGUUCUUUUUCCGGCCCGAAUUCAGGUGGUACCACGGAGAACCUCCGCCCUGAGC